ACUCCUACGGGAGGCAGCAGUGGGGAAUAUUGGACAAUGGGGGCAACCCUGAUCCAGCCAUGCCGCGUGAGUGAUGAAGGCCUUAGGGUUGUAAAACUCUUUUGUCCGGGAAGAUAAUGACUGUACCGGAAGAAUAAGCCCCGGCUAACUUCGUGCCAGCAGCCGCGGUAAU
Molecule: ribosomal RNA, 172 nt
Filed under: uncultured bacterium
Lineage: Bacteria
Description: partial 16S ribosomal RNA
Rfam family: Bacterial small subunit ribosomal RNA
Source: RNAcentral